This 31-nucleotide non-coding RNA is filed under the name Rattus norvegicus (Norway rat). The record is from RNAcentral. Lineage: Eukaryota; Metazoa; Chordata; Mammalia; Rodentia; Muridae.
UUUGAUCUUCUGUUUGUUUCCUCAUGGGCUU